This 493-nucleotide ribosomal RNA is filed under the name uncultured bacterium. RNAcentral describes it as "partial 16S ribosomal RNA". It matches the Rfam family "Bacterial small subunit ribosomal RNA", at positions 29 to 523 of the family's 1533-position model. The record is from RNAcentral.
AUUGAACGCUGGCGGCAUGCUUUACACAUGCAAGUCGAACGGUAACAGGUUAAGCUGACGAGUGGCGAACGGGUGAGUAAUGCAUCGGAACGUGCCCGAUCGUGGGGGGUAACGCAGCGAAAGCUGCGCUAAUACCGCAUACGAUCUGAGGAUGAAAGCGGGGGACCGUAAGGCCUCGCGCGAUCGGAGCGGCCGAUGUCAGAUUAGGUAGGUGGUGGGGUAAAGGCUCACCAAGCCGACGAUCUGUAGCUGGUCUGAGAGGACGACCAGCCACACUUGGACUGAGACACGGCCCAGACUCCUACGGGAGGCAGCAGUGGGGAAUUUUGGACAAUGGGCGAAAGCCUGAUCCAGCAAUGACGCGUGCAGGAAGAAGGCCUUCGGGUUGUAAACUGCUUUUGUACGGAGCGAAAAGGCUCUCUCUAAUACAGGGGGCUCAUGACGGUACCGUAAGAAUAAGCACCGGCUAACUACGUGCCAGCCGCCGCGGUAA